RNAcentral lists this transfer RNA (76 nucleotides) under Ailuropoda melanoleuca (giant panda). It matches the Rfam family "tRNA". Rfam says of the family: Transfer RNA (tRNA) molecules are approximately 80 nucleotides in length. Lineage: Eukaryota; Metazoa; Chordata; Mammalia; Carnivora; Ursidae. The record is from Rfam by way of RNAcentral.
GCCUGGCUGGCUCAGUUGUAGAUAGAGCAUGUGACUAUUGAUCUUGGGGAUGUGGGUUCGAGCCCCACGUUGGAUG